RNAcentral lists this ribosomal RNA (456 nucleotides) under uncultured Myxococcales bacterium. RNAcentral describes it as "bacterial SSU rRNA". It matches the Rfam family "Bacterial small subunit ribosomal RNA", at positions 342 to 791 of the family's 1533-position model. The record is from RNAcentral. Lineage: Bacteria; Pseudomonadati; Myxococcota; Myxococcia; Myxococcales.
CGGGGGGCAGCAGUGGGGAAUCUUGCGCAAUGGGCGAAAGCCUGACGCAGCGACGCCGCGUGAGUGAUGAAGGCCUUCGGGUUGUAAAGCUCUGUGGGGAGAGAAGAAUAAGUGCAGCCUAAUAUGCUGCAUGAUGACGGUAUCUCCUUAGCAAGCACCGGCUAACUCUGUGCCAGCAGCCGCGGUAAGACAGAGGGUGCAAACGUUGUUCGGAAUUACUGGGCGUAAAGCGUGUGUAGGCGGCCACAUAAGUCGGAUGUGAAAGCCCCGGGCUCAACCCGGGAAGUGCACUCGAUACUGUGUGGCUUGAGUACUGGAGAGGUUGGUGGAAUUCUCGGUGUAGAGGUGAAAUUCGUAGAUAUCGAGAGGAACACCGGUGGCGAAGGCGGCCAACUGGACAGAUACUGACGCUGAGACACGAAAGCGUGGGUAGCAAACAGGAUUAGAUACCCCGGU